AAAACCCUUUUAUUUGAAGUAUAGAUUUUGGUUCCCGGCUGUGCUGUGUCAAAUUGCCCAUGGGUAUUCUGAUCGGUCGCCGCGUAACAGAAGGUCAUGAACCUCGUCAGAUCCGGAAGGAAGCAGCGAUAAGUGAUAUCAUCUGUGUCGUGGAUUGAUCCCGGUCAUGCAAUACUCCGGUGAUUUACCAGUCAGCCGGG
This 200-nucleotide unclassified non-coding RNA is filed under the name Desulfocicer vacuolatum DSM 3385. RNAcentral describes it as "Desulfobacterium vacuolatum DSM 3385 Bacterial large signal recognition particle RNA". The stretch from base 71 to 167 matches the Rfam family "Bacterial small signal recognition particle RNA". The record is from RNAcentral. Lineage: Bacteria; Pseudomonadati; Thermodesulfobacteriota; Desulfobacteria; Desulfobacterales; Desulfobacteraceae.